ACACAUGCAAGUCGAGGGGCAGCAUUUUAGUUUGCUUGCAAACUAAAGAUGGCGACCGGCGCACGGGUGAGUAACACGUAUCCAACCUGCCGAUAACUCGGGGAUAGCCUUUCGAAAGAAAGAUUAAUAUCCGAUAGUAUAUUAAAACCGCAUGGUUUUACUAUUAAAGAAUUUCGGUUAUCGAUGGGGAUGCGUUCCAUUAGUUUGUUGGCGGGGUAACGGCCCACCAAGACUACGAUGGAUAGGGGUUCUGAGAGGAAGGUCCCCCACAUUGGAACUGAGACACGGUCCAAACUCCUACGGGAGGCAGCAGUGAGGAAUAUUGGUCAAUGGACGAGAGUCUGAACCAGCCAAGUAGCGUGAAGGAUGACUGCCCUAUGGGUUGUAAACUUCUUUUAUAUGGGAAUAAAGUAUUCCACGUGUGGGAUUUUGUAUGUACCAUAUGAAUAAGGAUCGGCUAACUCCGUGCCAGCAGCCGCGGUAAUACGGAGGAUCCGAGCGUUAUCCGGAUUUAUUGGGUUUAAAGGGAGCGUAGGUGGAUUGUUAAGUCAGUUGUGAAAGUUUGCGGCUCAACCGUAAAAUUGCAGUUGAAACUGGCAGUCUUGAGUACAGUAGAGGUGGGCGGAAUUCGUGGUGUAGCGGUGAAAUGCUUAGAUAUCACGAAGAACUCCGAUUGCGAAGGCAGCUCACUAGACUGCAACUGACACUGAUGCUCGAAAGUGUGGGUAUCAAACAGG
Molecule: ribosomal RNA, 737 nt
Filed under: uncultured Bacteroidales bacterium
Lineage: Bacteria; Pseudomonadati; Bacteroidota; Bacteroidia; Bacteroidales
Description: bacterial SSU rRNA
Rfam family: Bacterial small subunit ribosomal RNA
Source: RNAcentral